Molecule: small nuclear RNA, 103 nt
Organism: Lontra canadensis (Northern American river otter)
Lineage: Eukaryota; Metazoa; Chordata; Mammalia; Carnivora; Mustelidae
Source: RefSeq, a predicted model, not a curated record
GUGCUAGUUCAGCAGCACACAUACUAAAACUGGAAUUAUACAGAGAUUAGCAUGGCCUCUGAACUAGGAUAACACACAAAACUGUGAAGCAUCCCAUAAAAAA